AGAGUUUGAUCAUGGCUCAGAUUGAACGCUGGCGGUAGGCUUAACACAUGCAAGUCGUGCGAGAAAGUACCUUCGGGUGCGAGUAGAGCGGCGGACGGGUGAGUAACGCGUAGGAAUCUACCUAGUAGAAGGGGAUAGCCCGAGGAAACUCGGAUUAAUACCGUAUACCUCCUUAGGGAGAAAGAGGGCUUAGCUUUGAUGCUCUCGCUAUUAGAUGAGCCUGCGUAAGAUUAGCUUGUUGGUGAGGUAAUGGCUCACCAAGGCGACGAUCUUUAGCUGGUCUGAGAGGACGAUCAGCCACAUUGGGACUGAGACACGGCCCAGACUCCUACGGGAGGCAGCAGUGGGGAAUAUUGGACAAUGGGCGCAAGCCUGAUCCAGCCAUACCGCGUGUGUGAAGAAGGCUUUCGGGUUGUAAAGCACUUUAAGUAAGGAGAAAAAGAUUGUAGUUAAUACCUGCAAUCCGUGAUGUUACUUACAGAAUAAGGACCGGCUAAUUCCGUGCCAGCCGCCGCGGU
RNAcentral lists this ribosomal RNA (518 nucleotides) under uncultured bacterium. Its description in RNAcentral is "bacterial SSU rRNA". It matches the Rfam family "Bacterial small subunit ribosomal RNA", at positions 8 to 521 of the family's 1533-position model. The record is from RNAcentral.